This 463-nucleotide ribosomal RNA is filed under the name uncultured bacterium. Its description in RNAcentral is "bacterial SSU rRNA". It matches the Rfam family "Bacterial small subunit ribosomal RNA", at positions 28 to 508 of the family's 1533-position model. The record is from RNAcentral.
GACGAACGCUGGCGGCGUGCUUAACACAUGCAAGUCGAACGGAAAGGCCCUUCGGGGUACUCGAGUGGCGAACGGGUGAGUAACACGUGGGUGAUCUGCCCUGCACUUUGGGAUAAGCCUGGGAAACUGGGUCUAAUACCGAAUAUGACCGCGCACUUCCUGGUGUGUGGUGGAAAGCUUUUGCGGUGUGGGAUGGGCCCGCGGCCUAUCAGCUUGUUGGUGGGGUAAUGGCCUACCAAGGCGACGACGGGUAGCCGGCCUGAGAGGGUGACCGGCCACACUGGGACUGAGAUACGGCCCAGACUCCUACGGGAGGCAGCAGUGGGGAAUAUUGCACAAUGGGCGCAAGCCUGAUGCAGCGACGCCGCGUGAGGGAUGACGGCCUUCGGGUUGUAAACCUCUUUCAAUAGGGACGAAGCGCAAGUGACGGUACCUAUAGAAGAAGGACCGGCCAACUACGUGC